Non-coding RNA from Danio rerio (zebrafish), 4101 nucleotides. Ensembl annotates it as zwilling. Its record names the gene zwi. NCBI's taxonomy places the organism in Eukaryota, Metazoa, Chordata, Actinopteri, Cypriniformes, Danionidae. The record is from Ensembl.
UGUACAGAUUUCUCCCAGCACAGUCAACCUGCAGGGCACUGGAAUGCAAAGACUUUAGCCCACACAAAGAGGAGAGGAAACAGAGUGAGCACUGAGACUCUGAAGACCUGACAACCUACAUGCCUCCAUGGGGAACACCAGUUUUACGGAAGGGAAGACUGCCCUGUCUGUGGGUGGCUCUUCAAUAGCCAGGGGAAAGACUUCCAUCACAAUGGGCAAAUCCUCCAUCACCCGUGGGGUCACCACUACCUCUAUGGGCGACUCUACCAUUACCAGAGGCAAAACCACCAUCUCCCUGGGCAGAGCCAGCUUUAGCAGAGGCAAAACUACAACCUCCAUCCGUAAGGCCUUCAUGCCCAAGCGCAGGACCAAAUAGAUGGAAAAGAGAUCGGCAUACGCUGAAACAAAGAGCAAGACUUCAACGGCAAGGAAGAGCACUGAGAAGGAUGAGACAACAGAUCUAGAGCAAGAGGAAGACUCAAAAGCCUCAAAAGGAAAGGCUUCUCUUCUACUAAGAAAGACUUGCUUUACAAAAGGGAAAAUCAGACUGAUGAAAAGCAAAAAGGCCAUCUCAUGGGGGAAGACGCUUCUUUCGAGGAGCAAGACCAAACUGAGGAAGGGAGAGACUGCAUUUGUGGUGGGUACAACUACAAUCACUCAUGGGGAGACUACUAGUUCUUUGAGCAAGGCCACUUUAAGUCAAGGGGAGAAGUCUGUCACUGUAGUUAAGACUUCCCUCAAAAGAGGCAAAGAAAAGCAAUGGAAUCUCUACUGGGAUUUUCAUCUGUGACUUAAAGACACAAAUGUAACUACAAACAGUAUAUGUACAGUGUAUGUGUAUAUUUCCAGAAAGACUGACUCUGAAGUAGAGGGUACAAGAAGGUUGGAUGUCUUGUGAGAUGCAAGUGUUUGCCAGCAUGCCAUAGAAUAGCACACAAAUGCAUUCUAAAGGGCAAAACGAAGUGUAUGUGUACUAUAAAUUAGCUUGGAAUAAGAAUGAUGUCUUUGUCCCUGAAGGAGAAUUUAGUUGAUUUGAAGAUAAAGACUUGUACGAGAGAAUAUGUUCAGAUACCAGAUGCCAAACUGGUGUACAUGAAGAGAACAUGCAUGCAUGGAUGUGUGAGGGUGUGCACUGCCACAAGCUCUUAUUGUUCACAUGCAGAAGGGUUUGAGUUGGAUGAUCCAGAUCUGGAUCUUGCAAGUGGAAUUGUGUUAACUAGUUAAACAAAACUAACCAAGUCAUAGUAAAAAGUUUAUGAAAUUAAUUGCAAUUAAAAUGUGCCUUGUUAACAGACCUCUUAAUCUUGCAUUAGUGUAAACAAUAUCAACCAGUAUAACAGUGAAUUAAGUCAGAAUUGUCAAUAAAUAGACCUUUAAAAUGGUUCAACAUUCUAUGUGUCUCUCUUUAACAAAUCAGAGGGUUCCUAAGCAGGUCACACACUCACCAGAAAGUAUGAUAUGAGCCUAGUCGCAUCUUGUGUUAAAGGCACAGCACACUGUGCUGCUAUUCUUAUGUCAGACUGCACAAUCAUAGCCAAGACAUUCAGGUAUAACUAAAUUGACUACACAUAUCGGGAAUCUGACAUAUGAAACACGGGAAAGUAGAUUACAUCCUUGUGUUUCAGCCUCAGUAAAAACAACACCUUUUUAAAUGCCAUGUACAGUACAACUCAAGGCAUUGGAUAGCAGUUCUAGGGAGGCACAAUGCCACGGAACUGAGUGAUGUCACCACUGAUUGUGCAGCUCAACAAUGUGUUCUUCAGUGCCUCGCUUUAGCAACGGUACAAUGCGGUCUACUGUCCGCUCUGCCCCCAGAUAGAACUAAGGCCUCCUACGGCAGCCUCUGUCCAUUCACGGCACACAGGGUAGGUAUGUGGCCUUGCGAAGCCCACGUUACACUGCUCAACAAGUGCUUUAUGCUGCUGCAUGGGGGUUGCUCUCACCACGCAUAGCAUUCUGGUUCCAUCCUGACACUAGCUGUUUGGACUGUCACACCCAGCCGGGCACUGCCUGAGUGUGUUGAGUGGUGAGAUGCGACGCUGCCAGGGCAUACGAUGAGCCACCAUAACCUCAUCGUGUAGGCGCAGGAGACCUCAAGAUUCCCAAGGGAGCAUAGAAAAAAUCUAACCCUGAACGUGCUCCAGGUCAGGUUAUCAAGGCUGGCUGCUUGAGGGGACCUCCUGGAGCUUCUCCACCACUUUCGGAUUCGCCAUGGGUAACACGAGUAUCACUGAGGGCAAGACGGCCCUGAACCUGGGAAGCACAUCGAUCAAGAGAGACAAGACCAAGAUUUUGAUGGGAAACUCCUCUAUCUCCCGCGGGAAAAGCACAACAUCCCUGGGCUCCUCCACCAUUACCAGUGGCAAAAUGAAGAUUUCCAUGGGUGCCGCCUCUUUUAGCCGAGGCACCAAGUCUACGUCCUUCCGAAAGGCUUUUUUGCCCAAGAGGAAGACUCUUUAACGGGAAGUAAGGCUAAAUCUAUGGGGAGGGUAUAGGGUGCUGGGUGUGGGAUGUGGGGACUGUAUCACCAAGCUGGGAAAAAAAGAAAACAAAAGCAAAUAUCACCAACAGCCAAGAAAACAUCAUCAUCAUCAUCAUCAUCAUCAUCACAGUGUACUUUCUGUGGAGAUAAUUCACUGAAUCUUGCAUCGCUUUCUUGCCAUUGCAAAAAAAAAAAAAAAAACCUUUACCUUUCGGAACAAGUUUCUUAUUUUGAUUUCAUUACUUGGGAAUACAUCAUGAAUGCAGAGUUCUUGAAUCACCGGAGUCCACACCUUUACAUUACUAGCUUCAGCUGUCCGGAAAACUUUCUCAAGGAGAUGCGCUAAACUGGCCAUUCCAUUUUUAUUGGAAAGUCAAGACAUGAGAACAUCGACAAGAGCUGAUCUUUGACUGCUGGAACUCUUACCUCUCAACUUUUGACCAGGGAGGCAGCCAUCAUGCCCUAUUGUACCCUACAAUGUGGUUUUGCCCUUUAGUGACAAUGCCACAGCCAUCCAUUGUUACAGAUCUUAUGGAAACCUCAAUCCAAAACAUCUUACAUUGGACUCAAGGUAUCCCGAUAGUAAAAACCAACCAACAAACAUAUAUAAACGUAUCAUGAGUGCCCUUAUUUUGAAGCUUUUUUAUUUAGCCUGACAUUUGUUUAGUCUGAGUGAAAAAACUGAUGAAACUGUGUGACUGUCUCUAGUUAUAUUAUGUCAAUGAUCUAGACUGUAUACUGUAUGUGUAACCAUUGUAGAAGAAGCAUGCGAAAAAUGCGAAAUCACUAAUGCUUUUGAUCUUAGCAUUGAAGGAACUGGACGGUGGGUGGGUUAUGGUGGGGAGUGAAAUUAACCAUGUUUCUGUUGGUCAGAACCCUUCUCCGCAAUGUCAGCAACUCUCAGUUUUAGCAAAGAUGCUUCAGAUAAACACACUGGCUCAAUUUGGGAUUUACUAUGAAAACUACACCCCCCCCCCUCCCUCUGGGUAAACUAAUUGGCAAGUUUAAACACUCCAGAAAUUCUACCUGGUUAAAGUUCGUUAUAGACUAUUCAACAGCUUUCAUAAAUAAGCAUUUACACUGAGAGACAUGACAAUGGGAAUGAGGGUUUGAUGAUUGAGAGUGAAGGAAAUAAAACGUAAUAAACUCCUGAUCUCAACCUACCAGAGAAAUACAGACACAUGACAGAGACACAACAUGUCCCCCCUAAGGGAAAUAUAAAGUAACUGAGCUAAUCGUGAUCCAAUUAAAUUAAGAACUGUUUGAGAUUUCUUUGCUAGCAGCCUUUAAUUGUAAUUCAGAUUUUUUUUUCUUGUCAAGUCCUGUGUCGCUUGUCGUUAAAUGUUACAAACAGCUCUGGCGUGGCCGCAUGAGGGAUGUGGGUUGUAGAAAAAGGCCUCUGCCCUUUUCAACAAGAGUGUCUUUGUGUUUAUAAUCAUCUGUAAGGUCUGAAGUCCAUUUUUGUCAUUCUUUGUUGUUCAUUUUUUCACCAUGCAUUUGCAUAGUAUGUGUUUCAUGUGUUUAACAACUCCUACGUUAUGUCAUCCCGAUGGUAGAACCUUGGACAGUUCGGUUCUAACCACUGUGCUGUAUGCUUAAUAAAUAUUUGUUGACAUUAA